UACGUAGGUGGCGAGCGUUAUCCGGAAUGAUUGGGCGUAAAGGGUGCGUAGGCGGCCUGCUAAGUCUGGAGUGAAAGGUACCGGCUCAACCGGUACAGGCUCUGGAAACUGGCGGGCUAGAGAGCAGGAGAGGGCGGUGGAACUCCAUGUGUAGCGGUAAAAUGCGUAGAUAUAUGGAGGAACACCAGUGGCGAAGGCGGCUUCCUGGUCUGCAACUGACACUGAGGCGCGAAAGCGUGGGGAGCAAACAGG
This 252-nucleotide ribosomal RNA is filed under the name uncultured bacterium. RNAcentral describes it as "partial 16S ribosomal RNA". It matches the Rfam family "Bacterial small subunit ribosomal RNA", at positions 524 to 776 of the family's 1533-position model. The record is from RNAcentral.